Molecule: ribosomal RNA, 501 nt
Filed under: uncultured bacterium
Lineage: Bacteria
Description: partial 16S ribosomal RNA
Rfam family: Bacterial small subunit ribosomal RNA
Source: RNAcentral
AUUGAACGCUGGCGGCAGGCUUAACACAUGCAAGUCGAGCGGGGGAAGGUAGCUUGCUACCGGACCUAGCGGCGGACGGGUGAGUAAUGCUUAGGAAUCUGCCUGUUAGUGGGGGACAACAUCUCGAAAGGGAUGCUAAUACCGCAUACGUCCUACGGGAGAAAGCAGGGGAUCUUCGGACCUUGCGCUAAUAGAUGAGCCUAAGUCGGAUUAGCUAGUUGGUGGGGUAAAGGCCUACCAAGGCGACGAUCUGUAGCGGGUCUGAGAGGAUGGUCCGCCACACUGGGACUGAGACACGGCCCAGACUCCUACGGGAGGCAGCAGUGGGGAAUAUUGGACAAUGGGGGGAACCCUGAUCCAGCCAUGCCGCGUGUGUGAAGAAGGCCUUAUGGUUGUAAAGCACUUUGAGCGAGGAGGAGGCUACUCUAGUUAAUACCUAGGGAUAGUGGACGUUACUCGCAGAAUAAGCACCGGCUAACUCUGUGCCAGCCGCCGCCGUAA